Triticum aestivum (bread wheat) is the source of this 126-nucleotide non-coding RNA. The record is from Rfam. NCBI's taxonomy places the organism in Eukaryota, Viridiplantae, Streptophyta, Magnoliopsida, Poales, Poaceae.
GAUAUACUCCCUCCGUCCCGAAUUACUUGUCUCAAAAAUGGAUAGAAAUGGAUGUAUCUAGAACUAAAAAUACAUCUAGAUACAUCCAUGUCUGAGACAAGUAAUUCCGGACGGAAGGAGUAUAUU